CCUACGGGAGGCAGCAGUGGGGAAUAUUGCGCAAUGGGGGAAACCCUGACGCAGCGACGCCGCGUGCGGGAUGAAGGCCUUCGGGUUGUAAACCGCUUUCAGCAGGGACGAAGCGUGAGUGACGGUACCUGCAGAAGAAGCGCCGGCUAACUACGUGCCAGCAGCCGCGGUAACACGUAGGGCGCGAGCGUUGUCCGGAAUUAUUGGGCGUAAAGAGCUCGUAGGCGGCCUGUUGCGUCCGCUGUGAAAGCCCGGGGCUUAACCCCGGGUCGGCAGUGGAUACGGGCAGGCUAGAGGUAGGUAGGGGAGAAUGGAAUUCCCGGUGUAGCGGUGAAAUGCGCAGAUAUCGGGAGGAACACCGGUGGCGAAGGCGGUUCUCUGGGCCUUACCUGACGCUGAGGAGCGAAAGCGUGGGGAGCGAACAGGAUUAGAUACCCUAG
Molecule: ribosomal RNA, 440 nt
Filed under: uncultured bacterium
Lineage: Bacteria
Description: bacterial SSU rRNA
Rfam family: Bacterial small subunit ribosomal RNA
Source: RNAcentral